Molecule: ribosomal RNA, 543 nt
Filed under: uncultured bacterium
Lineage: Bacteria
Description: bacterial SSU rRNA
Rfam family: Bacterial small subunit ribosomal RNA
Source: RNAcentral
GAAUAGAUACCCAGGUAGUCCACGCCCUAAAACGAUGCGAACUGGAUGUUGGGUACAUUACGGUACUCAGUGUCGAAGCUAACGCGUUAAGUUCGCCGCCUGGGGAGUACGGUCGCAAGACUGAAACUCAAAGGAAUUGACGGGGGCCCGCACAAGCGGUGGAGUAUGUGGUUUAAUUCGAUGCAACGCGAAGAACCUUACCUGGCCUUGACAUCUGUCGAAUCCUGCAGAGAUGCGGGAGUGCCGCAAGGAACGACAAGACAGGUGCUGCAUGGCUGUCGUCAGCUCGUGUCGUGAGAUGUUGGGUUAAGUCCCGCAACGAGCGCAACCCUUGUCCCUAGUUGCCAGCACGUAAUGGUGGGAACUCUAGGGAGACUGCCGGUGACAAACCGGAGGAAGGUGGGGAUGACGUCAAGUCCUCAUGGCCCUUACGGCCAGGGCUACACACGUACUACAAUGGUCGGUACAGAGGGUUGCGAAGCCGCGAGGUGGAGCCAAUCCCGAGAAAACCGACUCCCAGUCCGGAUCGGAGUCUGCUAACCG